UCCGGCUAUUGGCCCGGAGUUGAGGGAGGCUGAGUAGCCAUUGGCUGGAAGUCCUAAAAGGAAUCUCUGCGUUCCCUCCUGAGAAGUGCGUGUGGUCAACGCUUAGAAAUGGUGCAGUGAGGGCCUUCCUGAGACCCUGCCUCUGACUGAAAGGAUUUCAAAUGCUUCAAUUUACGGUUGUAUCUUCACCCGUCAGUGCCAACCAUUUUCAGACCCGCUGGCCCAGAAACGUUUGUAAUUAAAGGCUUGUUUGAAAAUACAAAGCCGAGCAAAGUAGUUCUGUAAGACUUGCUGACUGGCUGUGUGGUCAGUUUGCAUCGUGUAGCUGCAGGCCUGGAGGCUGAGAAUUCCAAAAUCAAAGAGUCAGAAGAUUUGGUGAGAGAGAACCACAUCCUGGUUCAUAUACAGCUGUCUUCUUGCUGUGUCCUCACAGGUGGAAGGGUGAAUACUCUGUACUCCAACAAGAGUCCUGAAGAGCCAACACUCAUCCCCGAGCUGCUGCACUAUCAACCACUGUUGGCUCACAGACACAACUCUUGCUGGGAACACCUCUUGGCUGCAGGAAUCUGCUUCUGCCAAAGUUAUACUCCCUACCAGGAGACAGCCCAUAUCAAAUGAACACAAAGCUGGGCCCCUCUGCCUCAAUUUGGAACAACUCUGAAGGGUCAUCCCCCUCCUGAACUCCCCAAUGGAUGACUGAGGCCUCAGCUGAAACCUCUCUGAGGUCAGUUUCUCCACUGUUCAAUCCUACCUUCCUCACUUCCUCAGAGGUAUCUCUCUAAUAAACUUCAUCAUGCAACUCUCCAGCCCAGAAUUUGUAUGUAGGGAGCCCACUCUAAAACAAUACAUCCUACCAGGGGCACUACUGUCCUCCAACAUAAUCGUGCCAUUUACAUUGUAUGGUAAUUAUAGAAUUUAUUAUUUGUUGAAAAGGCCAGGUCUUUUGUUUUGUAGAAUUUUCCAUAUCAGGAAUCAGCUGAUUGUGUCCCUGUGUAUAUUCUUAUUCUGAUAUUUUCUGUAAACUGGUAGUAAUACUGGAGACUUAAUUAGGUUCACUGCCACUCAUUUACACCUGGUAUUCUGAAACCUUUCUUUUACUUUCCUUUUCCUACUCUGUGAAAUUUAAAUAUUACUUAUCUGACGCUAAGAAAUGAUGAAAAUCAAAGGUCCCCAGGAUCAGGAGAGAUUAUUAAUAAUUCUAACUCCCUCCCCUACUCCCAUUCCCCCAACCCCCACCCCUGCCCCAGACUCGGUAUAUGCAACCUAAAGGCCUUCCAGAUACAUACUCAAGACUGGGAACAAAUGACUGGAGGAUGUGCUUACCUCUGUUUACAGCCUUUAAACACUAAAUACCUUCCUCCCAAAGCAGAGUCUGAUGAUCUCAUUCUCAUCUAGGAAGAGAACCAAAGACAGCCAUACCAUCUCUGAUUUAUUUGCAUGAAGAAUUCCACGUUGUUGCUAAUUUUAAAAGCCAUCCUGGCUUUCUUCUGUCAAAUGGUUUGAUUGUGGAUCGCAUUCUUUCACCAACAGCUGGUGUAUUCAAUUAAUCAACAUGCAUUUAUCAAGCACCUGCUGUGUGAUCAACGUCAUUCUUGGAGAAUUCAUGCUGAUUAAAUUCUCUGUAAAACAAUUAAGAAGCUGUAUCUUGUUUCUGCUACCCCCAGGUCCCACCCCCGAUUCCCACCAAUGCAUUACAAAAUCAAAUAGAUGCUCUUUUUGUAUCAAUUUACUGUUUUGAAUUAUCUACAUCCUGCUCCAUUCUGUUGAGAGUUGAUAGCACCCUGGACAAUUAUGAUUUUUCUAAGGUAGACAAGGCAGUUUUGCAUAAAUAUAUAUUCCUCUCCAUAAUUAUGUUCUUUUGUGUAUCCCUUUUUAAAGAAAUUUGCUAUGAGUUUUUGUUCAUUCUAUUUUUUUUAUUAAUGUCAUUUCAAGUAACAGAAACCAGAUUGAGCUGGCUCAAGGGAAAAUAAAAACUUAUUGGAAACACAUUAGGCUCUCUCACGGAAUCCAAAGAAGAACUGAACCACCAACCAGGCCUCUGGAAGGGCAGAAGACAGGGAAGCUCUGGGGACCCUGACAACAGCUGCUCACGAACGGUCUUUUUGGAAUUCUGCCACUAACAAGACUCAGAGCCAAACUUCUCCCAUCUCUGUGUAUCUCAGUUCAAAAUUCAAAUUCCUGGGAGGGAGAAUCUGAUUGACUGAGCUGUGGUCAGAAGGCUGCUGCUGUUCCAAUGAAGUGCAGCCGGGAGGCAAGGUCACAUGCUCUAUAUCCACACUGUCCAGUACAGGAGCCAUGAGCCACGUGUGGCUAUGGAGCACUGGAAAUGUGGCUAGGACACUGAGGAGCAGAAUUUUUCAUUUUAUUUAAUUGCUGUUAACUUAAAAUUUAAAACUGAAACAAUAUGAAAUAUUUUCCCAUUACAUACAACUUUAUUUUUUUGGUAGAACUUCAUUUCACUUGUUAAAAUUU
Molecule: non-coding RNA, 2472 nt
Organism: Vicugna pacos (alpaca)
Lineage: Eukaryota; Metazoa; Chordata; Mammalia; Artiodactyla; Camelidae
Source: RefSeq, a predicted model, not a curated record